GCUAUGGUGGUGUAGUGGUUAGCACAUCUGCCUAGUAAGCAGAAGACCCAUGUUCGAGUCCUGUCUGCAGCA
Molecule: non-coding RNA, 72 nt
Organism: Schistocerca americana (American grasshopper)
Lineage: Eukaryota; Metazoa; Arthropoda; Insecta; Orthoptera; Acrididae
Source: the annotation of a RefSeq genome assembly